AGAGACAGCAGUAACACCUUCUGGCUAUAGUCUAUUUUCAUCUUUCUCAUCCUAGUGUUAUCAAGAGAAAAACAGUCUUAGAUGCAACAUAAAAAUUUCAGAGACAGAAGAAAUCUUCCUUUGAGGGCAGGUUUUUUGGGAAAGAUAUAUAGCUUUUGGCAGAAGAAAAUCAGUGACAAUGACUUAGAAGAAUCUUAAUCUCAUGAAAGAAAUAAAUGCUUGUCAGUCAAGAAGUUGUAACCUUUACCUUGUUUUGACCUUUACAUUUUCAAGUGAUACACUUAUGUGAGAUUUUGAAAAGUGAAAAAUCAAAGGUGGAAUUGACCAGUAGAUGUAAAAGUACAACAAAUAAACAAAAAUGGCAAUGUUGAAAGUGAAACUGAAAUUCAACAGAAAUAAAAGAAAUAGCAGACUGGGGGGAUAUUGACUUUGACACCAUGAUGCCAGAGGAACUUAGUGAUGGCAAACUUAUCAAUAUAAAAUGAGGAUAUUGGUUGUCAACUAGGAUUGAAAUGCUGUUUUUCUUCCCUGGUACAAUGUUAAAGCUUUAAACUCUUGUCAAUGAUGUGAUGUUUCAUCUGCAAUGAUCUACACUAGAAAAAUAAAAAUGUAGUUACUGACAAAAAAGCAGUACUCCAGGCAGAUUUAUAAAGGAAGCUGCUGGAAGGAAUUCAUUCCCUUUUUGCUGUUCUGCCUUCCACCUUCCACUGUGUGAGGACACUGCAAGAAAGCCCUCAUCAGACACCAACUGCCAGCACCUAGAUCUUGGAAUUCUCAGCCUCCAGAACUGUGAGAAACACGUUUCUGUUUUUCUAUAAAAUAAUAAUAAUAAAAAACUUCCAUGCAGGAAAAAAAAUCAAGUUCAAAGGUCCUGUGGUGAGGGCAUACCAGCUUUGUUUGAGAAGCAGUAAUCAUGCCUGUGUGACUGUAAUGAAAGAAUAAAAGAGAAAUGAGCACAGAAGAAUAUAA
Molecule: long non-coding RNA, 969 nt
Filed under: Homo sapiens (human)
Lineage: Eukaryota; Metazoa; Chordata; Mammalia; Primates; Hominidae
Description: long intergenic non-protein coding RNA 1821
Source: RNAcentral